ACAGGGGGAUAACACUGAGAAAUUGGUACUAAUACCCCAUAAUAUCAUAGAAGGCAUCUUUUAUGGUUGAAAAUUCCGAUGGUUAGAGAUGGGCAUGCGUUGUAUUAGCUAGUUGGUGGGGUAACGGCUCACCAAGGCGACGAUACAUAGGGGGACUGAGAGGUUAACCCCCCACACUGGUACUGAGACACGGACCAGACUCCUACGGGAGGCAGCAGUGAGGAAUAUUGGUCAAUGGACGCAAGUCUGAACCAGCCAUGCCGCGUGCAGGAUGACGGCUCUAUGAGUUGUAAACUGCUUUUGUACGAGGGUAAACGCAGAUACGUGUAUCUGUCUGAAAGUAUCGUACGAAUAAGGAUCGGCUAACUCCGUGCCAGCAGCCGCGGUAAUACGGAGGAUUCAAGCGUUAUCCGGAUUUAUUGGGUUUAAAGGGUGCGUAGGCGGUUUGAUAAGUUAGAGGUGAAAUUUCGGGGCUCAACCCUGAACGUGCCUCUAAUACUGUUGAGCUGGAGAGUAGUUGCGGUAGGCGGAAUGUAUGGUGUAGCGGUGAAAUGCUUAGAGAUCAUACAGAACACCGAUUGCGAAGGCAGCUUACCAAACUAUAUCUGACGUUGAGGCACGAAAGCGUGGGGAGCAAACAGGAUUAGAUACCCUGGUAGUCCACGCAGUAAACGA
RNAcentral lists this ribosomal RNA (675 nucleotides) under uncultured bacterium. RNAcentral's name for it is "bacterial SSU rRNA". It matches the Rfam family "Bacterial small subunit ribosomal RNA", at positions 135 to 809 of the family's 1533-position model. The record is from RNAcentral.